UUGGUUAAGUUAGAAAGGGCGCACGGUGGAUGCCUUGGCACUAGGAGCCGAAGAAGGACGGGACUAACACCGAUAUGCUUUGGGGAGCUGUACGUAAGCGUUGAUCCAGAGAUUUCCGAAUGGGGGAACCCACUAUCUUUAGUCGGAUAGUAUCCUUACGUGAAUACAUAGCGUGAGGAAGGCAGACCCAGGGAACUGAAACAUCUAAGUACCUGGAGGAAGAGAAAGAAAAAUCGAUUUCCUGAGUAGCGGCGAGCGAAACGGAAAGAGCCCAAACCAAGAAGCUUGCUUCUUGGGGUUGUAGGACACUCUAUACGGAGUUACAAAAGAAAGUUAUAAAUGAAGCGGUCUGGAAAGGCCCGCCAAAGACGGUAACAGCCCGGUAGUUGAAAUGGCUUUCCCUCCAGAGUGGAUCCUGAGUACGGCGGAACACGUGAAAUUCCGUCGGAAUCCGGGAGGACCAUCUCCCAAGGCUAAAUACUCCCUAGUGACCGAUAGUGAACCAGUACCGUGAGGGAAAGGUGAAAAGCACCCCGGAAGGGGAGUGAAACAGUUCCUGAAACCGUGUGNNNNNNNNNNAGGUUAAGCGGAAAAAGCGGAGCCGUAGCGAAAGCGAGUCUGAAUAGGGCGCAUAAGUAACAGGUCGUAGACCCGAAACCAGGUGAUCUACCCAUGUCCAGGAUGAAGGUAAGGUAAUACUUACUGGAGGUCCGAACCCACGCACGUUGAAAAGUGCGGGGAUGAGGUGUGGGUAGCGGAGAAAUUCCAAUCGAACUUGGAGAUAGCUGGUUCUCUCCGAAAUAGCUUUAGGGCUAGCCUCGAGGUAAAGAGUCAUGGAGGUAGAGCACUGUUUGGACUAGGGGCCCUUCUCGGGUUACCGAAUUCAGAUAAACUCCGAAUGCCAUGUACUUAUACUCGGGAGUCAGACUGCGAGUGAUAAGAUCCGUAGUCGAAAGGGAAACAGCCCAGACCACCAGUUAAGGUCCCCAAAUAUAUGUUAAGUGGAAAAGGAUGUGGGGUUGCUUAGACAACCAGGAUGUUGGCUUAGAAGCAGCCACCAUUGAAAGAGUGCGUAAUAGCUCACUGGUCGAGUGACCCCGCGCCGAAAAUGUACCGGGGCUAAACAUAUUACCGAAACUGUGGAUGAACCUCUUUAGAGGUUCGUGGUAGGAGAGCGUUCUAAGGGCGGUGAAGUCAGACCGGAAGGACUGGUGGAGCGCUUAGAAGUGAGAAUGCCGGUAUGAGUAGCGAAAGAAGGGUGAGAAUCCCUUCCACCGAAUAUCUAAGGUUUCCUGAGGAAGGCUCGUCCGCUCAGGGUUAGUCGGGACCUAAGCCGAGGCCGAUAGGCGUAGGCGAUGGACAACAGGUAGAGAUUCCUGUACCAGUGCUAAUUGUUUAACCGAUGGGGUGACACAGAAGGAUAGGGAAUCGCACGAAUGGAAAUGUGCGUCCAAGCAGUGAGUGUGAGAAGUAGGCAAAUCCGCUUCUCGCGAAGCAUGAGCUGUGAUGGGGAAGGAAAUUAAGUACGGAAGUUCCUGAUUUCACGCUGUCAAGAAAAGCCUCUAGGAAGAGUAGUACUGCCCGUACCGCAAACCGACACAGGUAGAUGAGGAGAGAAUCCUAAGGUGAGCGAGAGAACUCUCGUUAAGGAACUCGGCAAAAUGACCCCGUAACUUCGGGAGAAGGGGUGCUCUAUUAGGGUGCAAGCCCGAGAGAGCCGCAGUGAAUAGGCCCAGGCGACUGUUUAGCAAAAACACAGGUCUCUGCAAAACCGUAAGGUGACGUAUAGGGGCUGACGCCUGCCCGGUGCUGGAAGGUUAAGAGGAGUGCUUAGCUUCGGCGAAGGUACGAAUUGAAGCCCCAGUAAACGGCGGCCGUAACUAUAACGGUCCUAAGGUAGCGAAAUUCCUUGUCGGGUAAGUUCCGACCCGCACGAAAGGCGCAACGAUCUGGGCACUGUCUCAACGAGAGACUCGGUGAAAUUAUAGUACCUGUGAAGAUGCAGGUUACCCGCGACAGGACGGAAAGACCCCGUGGAGCUUUACUGCAACCUGAUAUGGAAUGUUUGUACCGCUUGUACAGGAUAGGUAGGAGCCGAAGAGACGUGUGCGCUAGCAUACGAGGAGGCAAUGGUGGGAUACUACCCUGGCUGUAUGACCAUUCUAACCCGCCACGCUUAGCGCGUGGGGAGACAGUGUCAGGUGGGCAGUUUGACUGGGGCGGUCGCCUCCUAAAGAGUAACGGAGGCGCCCAAAGGUUCCCUCAGAAUGGAUGGAAAUCAUUCGCAGAGUGUAAAGGCACAAGGGAGCUUGACUGCGAGACUGACAAGUCGAGCAGGGACGAAAGUCGGGCUUAGUGAUCCGGUGGUUCCGCAUGGAAGGGCCAUCGCUCAACGGAUAAAAGCUACCCCGGGGAUAACAGGCUUAUCUCCCCCAAGAGUCCACAUCGACGGGGAGGUUUGGCACCUCGAUGUCGGCUCGUCGCAUCCUGGGGCUGUAGUCGGUCCCAAGGGUUGGGCUGUUCGCCCAUUAAAGCGGCACGCGAGCUGGGUUCAGAACGUCGUGAGACAGUUCGGUCCCUAUCCGUCGCGGGCGCAGGAAAUUUGAGAGGAGCUGUCCUUAGUACGAGAGGACCGGGAUGGACACACCGCUGGUGUACCAGUUGUUCCGCCAGGAGCAUCGCUGGGUAGCUAUGUGUGGCAGGGAUAAACGCUGAAAGCAUCUAAGCGUGAAGCCCCCCUCAAGAUGAGAUUUCCCAUUUCUUCGGAAAGUAAGAUCCCUGAAAGAUGAUCAGGUAGAUAGGUUUGGAGUGGAAGUGUAGCGAUACAUGGAGCGGACAAAUACUAAUCGAUCGAGGACUUAACCAAAA
This 2868-nucleotide ribosomal RNA is filed under the name Listeria monocytogenes. Its description in RNAcentral is "bacterial LSU rRNA". It matches the Rfam family "Bacterial large subunit ribosomal RNA". Lineage: Bacteria; Bacillati; Bacillota; Bacilli; Caryophanales; Listeriaceae. The record is from RNAcentral.